CCUACGGGCGGCAGCAGUGGGGAAUAUUGGACAAUGGGGGCAACCCUGAUCCAGCCAUGCCGCGUGUGUGAAGAAGGCCCUCGGGUUGUAAAGCACUUUCAGUGAGGAAGAACGCCUGGUGGUUAAUACCCAUCAGGAAAGACAUCACUCACAGAAGAAGCUCCGGCUAACUCCGUGCCAGCAGCCGCGGUAAUACGGAGGGUGCGAGCGUUAAUCGGAAUUACUGGGCGUAAAGCGCGCGUAGGUGGCUUGAUAAGCCGGUUGUGAAAGCCCCGGGCUCAACCUGGGAACGGCAUCCGGAACUGUCAAGCUAGAGUGCAGGAGAGGAAGGUAGAAUUCCCGGUGUAGCGGUGAAAUGCGUAGAGAUCGGGAGGAAUACCAGUGGCGAAGGCGGCCUUCUGGACUAACACUGACACUGAGGUGCGAAAGCGUGGGUAGCAAACAGGAUUAGAUACCCCGGUAGUC
RNAcentral lists this ribosomal RNA (465 nucleotides) under Vreelandella stevensii. RNAcentral describes it as "partial 16S ribosomal RNA". It matches the Rfam family "Bacterial small subunit ribosomal RNA", at positions 338 to 795 of the family's 1533-position model. The record is from RNAcentral. Lineage: Bacteria; Pseudomonadati; Pseudomonadota; Gammaproteobacteria; Oceanospirillales; Halomonadaceae.